UGGGGAAUAUUGCACAAUGGGCGCAAGCCUGAUGCAGCCAUGCCGCGUGUAUGAAGAAGGCCUUCGGGUUGUAAAGUACUUUCAGCGGGGAGGAAGGGAGUAAAGUUAAUACCUUUGCUCAUUGACGUUACCCGCAGAAGAAGCACCGGCUAACUCCGUGCCAGCAGCCGCGGUAAUACGGAGGGUGCAAGCGUUAAUCGGAAUUACUGGGCGUAAAGCGCACGCAGGCGGUUUGUUAAGUCAGAUGUGAAAUCCCCGGGCUCAACCUGGGAACUGCAUCUGAUACUGGCAAGCUUGAGUCUCGUAGCGGGGGGUAGAAUUCCAGGUGUAGCGGUGAAAUGCGUAUGGAUCUGGAGGAAUACCGGUGGCGAAGGCGGCCCCCUGGACGAAGACUGACGCUCAGGUGCGAAAGCGUGGGGAGCAAACAGG
Molecule: ribosomal RNA, 429 nt
Filed under: Chloroflexota bacterium
Lineage: Bacteria; Bacillati; Chloroflexota
Description: Chloroflexi bacterium partial 16S ribosomal RNA
Rfam family: Bacterial small subunit ribosomal RNA
Source: RNAcentral